Molecule: long non-coding RNA, 793 nt
Organism: Gorilla gorilla gorilla (western lowland gorilla)
Lineage: Eukaryota; Metazoa; Chordata; Mammalia; Primates; Hominidae
Exons: 2
Source: RefSeq, a predicted model, not a curated record
GAGCACAGUGGUCACUCAAAAGAGGGAGAGUGAGUUCAGCCUAUCAUCUGAGAUCCGAGUAUGAUUGGGGAAAUAUCCUGAAAUAGUCUAUGAUUUGAAGAAAUGGAUAGAUGGCUAGAAUAAUAUGCUAGAUGGUAGUCAAGUUACUAACUGCAGAAUUGAUUUGAUAAAAUUCUCAUCGUGUCUCCUGACUUAGGAGAAAUAUUGGGUCUGAUGAAUGGGUAAAAUUGCCAGGUGAAAAGAAUUUGGUCUGUAAGAUUUGGCAGCACCCUGAGGUUUGCCAUAUCUGAUGGCCUGGCUUUAGUGGCAGCACCUAGUGAAGGCCCAGGUGUCCUUCUGACAACCUUUACCGCCUACCGUUUUGUCCUUACUUAUGUUGAAUCACUACAGACAGGCUGUUGAAUUCAGCUGUCUGUGGAGAAAUUAUACCAACCACAUGGUUAGACAGAAGGAAUACAAUAUAUUGCUUAAUUUGUAUCUGAAAGCUAAGCAACAUGGAAAAAAAUCAAGCCUGCUCAGUCACUUCCAUGAGGACAAAUGAAGACACUUCAAGGGUACCAAACGCAGUCAGAUGAUACUUCCUGACAGCAUCCAAGAGCAAGUCUCACCACCACAUCUGUCAAUACAAAAGAAAACGAGGAGCUGCCAAUUUGUCUGUUUAUAGGUGCCAAUAAAAUCCUGCACAGAACUUUAGUCAACAAGACUAUUUCAGAAGGGGUGGCCAACAGUGUGGCCUUUCACUGGCAAGGGCCACCUUUGUCAUCACUUAAGAAAUAAAACCUGCCAAGUUUUC